AAGCUUUGUCACCACCAGGUCCUACCACCCAUCCGCUGCUCAGGGCCAGCUCCUGAUCCAAGCCCUUCUGGAUGUCCCCAUGCCAUGAGGGGGUCCUGCUAUCCAGGACAAAAGAUCUAAUUUGUGUUUUACCCGAUUUUUUUUGUUUUUGUUUUUGUUUUUUUACACAGGGUUUCCUACAUAGCCCAGGCUAGCCUUGAGCUCCAGGAGAUCCUCCAGCCUCAGCCCACUAAGUGCAGGGAGGCCAGGACUAGAAUUCGAAUUCAAGUCCCACUGACCCAGAAAAACCUGUGCACAGGGGCACCAAGGUCCUCACCUUGGCCAAUCCCAGGUCAGCCCCUCAUGUGUAAGAGAAGAAUUGAAGCCCAGAGAGGGAUCCUGUCCCACUCAAGGACACACAGCAAGUCACUGGCAGGAAGGAGAACA
Molecule: long non-coding RNA, 426 nt
Filed under: Chinchilla lanigera (long-tailed chinchilla)
Lineage: Eukaryota; Metazoa; Chordata; Mammalia; Rodentia; Chinchillidae
Description: lncRNA (ENSCLAG00000027591.1)
Source: RNAcentral